RNAcentral lists this long non-coding RNA (906 nucleotides) under Malus domestica (apple). Its description in RNAcentral is "long non-coding RNA (MDOM_LNC011851)". Lineage: Eukaryota; Viridiplantae; Streptophyta; Magnoliopsida; Rosales; Rosaceae. The record is from RNAcentral.
AAAAGUACUUCCAGAGAAGAUGCCACAUCUACAUAUGAGACAGAUAAGGCACGUGAAAAUGAUACCACACUUCGGUACUUAGAAGUUUCGUGAUUACUCAAUGGCUUGGAUCUUGCAAGUCCCCAACCGAGGAGCUUCCCUCGCUCGGGAACUUAGGGGAGCACUGUUUGUACCAUACUUGACCAAUCCCGAAACUACUGAGCACCGAUCAACGUUAUACCGUCAAGGACCCAGAAGAGCUUCCCUUAAACCAGGAGGCCAAUCACAAUGCGACACGUGUCGACAUCAGAAGCAAUCACAGCGCGACAUGUGUCAACAUCAAAAGCCAAUCACAACAUGACACGUGUCAAUGUUAGAAAAAAACUAGAAACUCUCUUCUAUAAAUAGGGAUCAUUCUCCCACAAUAAUCUCUAAUGUCAUUUUGUACUAAACUAUUCACUAGAACUCACAAAAUGAGAGCUUGAACCUAUGUAUUUGUGUAAACUCUUCACAAUUAAUGAGAACUCCUCUACUCCGUGGACGUAGCCGAUUUGGGUGAACCACGUACAUCUUGUGUUUGCUUCCCUGUCCCUAUUCAUUUACGUACUUAUCUUCACUAGUGAUCGAAGCAACCAAGCGAAGGUCACAAACCUGACACUUUCUGUUGUACCAAAGUCCUCGCUGAUUUUGUGCAUCAACACCAUGGAUUGCAGAUAUAUAGGCUGUUUCACACCUUUUCAAAUACCAGUUCAGUGUAUUUGAAGGUUCACAACUCUUUUCUAAGAGCUGUGUCUUUUAAUCAAAACGUUUUUAAUUAAUAAUAUAUAAAUUAAUUAAAAACUUAAUCCGAAAAUUAAAAUUAAUGAAUCAGAUUAAUUUUAAAUUCCAAGGGCCUAGGCCCUUGUCUUGAUUAAUUAAUAUUAAUUG